UCUAAAUCUGAAGAGGUAGAGAGACUGUANCUGGCUGGAUCUAGUCUUUCUAGUCUGGCAUGUGCACGUCCCCUCACCUUUUCUAUCUACACACACCUGUGCACCUAUUGUAGAUCCCCUCUUGAAAGAGAAGGGAACUAUGUUUUCAUCACAUCACACACAUUGUAUGUCCAGAAUGUAAAUUUGUCAAUCAUUGAUUUGAUUGAUGAUAAAACAUAUAUAAUACAACUUUCAGCAACGGAUCUCUUGGCUCUCGCAUCGAUGAAGAACGCAGCGAAUUGCGAUAAGUAAUGUGAAUUGCAGAUUUCCAGUGAAUCAUCGAAUCUUUGAACGCACCUUGCGCUCCUUGGUAUUCCGAGGAGCAUGCCUGUUUGAGUGUCAUCGAAUUCUCAACCAAUCUCUCUUGAUUAAUCUUUAAUCUUCAAGGGGAGCUAUGGCUUGGAGUUGGGAGUUGCUGGCAUGACUGUCAGCUCUCCUUAAAUGUAUUANCAAUCGAGUUGGCUAGUCUUUGACGUGCACGGCCUCAGACGUGAUAAUGAUCGUCGUAGCUGGAGCGUCUUUUCUAGACUAUGCACAUAGAUCGCUUCUAAUCAGAAUGGGAAGCAAAGAGUAGAGCAAAUAGUCCACAUUGAUCAUGAUCUAUAAUCUAUCAAGCUUAGCUACUAGGCAGUCUCCUGAGGCUGGCGAACACAAGCAAGAAGGAUUAG
Molecule: unclassified non-coding RNA, 707 nt
Filed under: uncultured fungus
Lineage: Eukaryota; Fungi
Description: sequence contains ITS1, 5.8S rRNA gene, ITS2
Rfam family: 5.8S ribosomal RNA (bases 227-381)
Source: RNAcentral